Molecule: ribosomal RNA, 408 nt
Filed under: Platorchestia pacifica
Lineage: Eukaryota; Metazoa; Arthropoda; Malacostraca; Amphipoda; Talitridae
Description: partial 16S ribosomal RNA
Source: RNAcentral
UUUAUUGGAACUGGAAUGAAAGGCUCAACAAACACAUAAUUUUUUAUUUUUAGAUGUUAUAAUUUUUAAUUUACGUAAAAAUACGUAAAUGAAUUUAAGGGACGAUAAGACCCUAAAAGCUUUAUUAUUUAAAUUUUUUUUAUUAUUUAGAUUUUAUUGUUUAAUGUAUUUUAACUGGGGCGGUUGUUUUUUUAACAAAAUUUUUUUUUUACAAAUAGGAUUAAAGAUCCUUAAAAUUAGGAUAGAUUGUUUAAGUUACUUUAGGGAUAACAGCGUUAUAAUAAUAGGGAGACCUUAUUUAUAUUGUUGAUUGCGACCUCGAUGUUGAAUUAAAUUUUUCUAUAUAAAGCAGAAAUUAUAUAUGAAAGUUUGUUCAACUUUUAAAUUUUUACAUGAUCUGAGUUCAAA